AAAUUUUUGGGAUAAAAGCUUAGCUGAGUUGAGUUAUAUAACCUAAAAUUUUUUAAUUAGAAACAGAGCAACAUGAGAUUCAAAGGUUGUCAUUUACAUGAAUGGAAAGCGCUUGCAUUCUUUUAUUAUCAAUUUAUCAUCAUCAUUAGCAACCCAAUGUUCAGUUCUGGCUCAUUCUGCGAUGUAUGGUUUUCCUAGUCGAGGGCCACGUACUUGAUAUACAUCGCUCCAGCGAAAACAACUAAGAAGCGUGCGCGGAGCAAAUAUUGAGUAGAGAUUGAAACCCAAUCAUAGAAAUGAAAACAAAAACAAGUGGUAGUAGAUAAAUAAAACAGAAACACAGCAGCCAAGCCAUGGAUAUUAACUUAAACUAAAAAAUAAAAAUAAAAAUCACGAACACAUUAUAUGCAUAUAUAUCUAUCCAUAUACAGAAAAAAGACCAUGCAAUUGACAAGCGAACUACCCACAUGCUAAAAACCUUUGUAU
This 486-nucleotide unclassified non-coding RNA is filed under the name Hevea brasiliensis (rubber tree). The record is from RNAcentral. Lineage: Eukaryota; Viridiplantae; Streptophyta; Magnoliopsida; Malpighiales; Euphorbiaceae.